RNAcentral lists this ribosomal RNA (256 nucleotides) under uncultured bacterium. Its description in RNAcentral is "partial 16S ribosomal RNA". It matches the Rfam family "Bacterial small subunit ribosomal RNA", at positions 524 to 776 of the family's 1533-position model. The record is from RNAcentral.
GACGUAGGGUGCGAGCGUUGUCCGGAUUUAUUGGGCGUAAAGAGCUCGUAGGCGGCUCGUCGCGUCGACCGUGAAAACCCGCGGCUUAACUGCGGGCUUGCGGUUGAUACGGGCGGGCUAGAGUUCGGUAGGGGGAGACUGGAAUUCCUGGUGUAGCGGUGAAAAUGCGCAGAUAUCAGGAGGAACACCGGUGGCGAAGGCGGGUCUCUGGGCCGAUACUGACGUGAGGAGCGAAAAGCGUGGGGGAGCGAACAGG